GUGCUCACUUUGGCAGCACAUAUAGUAAAAUUGGAAUGAUACCGAGAAGAUUAGCAUGGCCACUGCACAAGGAUGACACACACACACACACACAAACACAAAGAUCAG
This 108-nucleotide small nuclear RNA is filed under the name Prolemur simus (greater bamboo lemur). Lineage: Eukaryota; Metazoa; Chordata; Mammalia; Primates; Lemuridae. The record is from RNAcentral.